CCCCUUUUUCUCUGCUCCCACUGUGCUUUUUGGAUCCUCCUCACAUCAUAUCCCUCCAGAAGACGGUAAAGAAUCUCGGGCAAGUCCUUGAAAUAACCGAAAUUCGCCAAAGAUGAAACGUUAAAAGCAAGCGUUUUGGGGUGGAAUUGAUGAAGCCAAAUCGCCGCGGCAUAAAACCCUUCUUUGUCAGAUUUUCCGGUGCCACGAACACCCCUAAGAUUACAUAUAAGCUUAAGGGUGGUCAAGGGGUUGUACUGCCAUGCAUCGUGGAGCUUCUCCCUAAUGGAUUGGGGAGGGGUAUUGGGUACGACAUGGAAGAAGAAAUCAAGGCAAGGAUUGCCCGAUGAGAGAUAUGUCGCCGAACAAUUCUCAGUGUAACCCAUUGGUGGAGAUUGCAUUGGAUCAAUGGUAGUUUUAUUGAAAUUGGCCACCAUGAGAUCCAUGAACGGAUCACUAACGCCAUCUGUAGCUUCGCUUGGGGGUGGUUUUGCUAGAAGAGUUGGGUUGUGGAGCUCUGGAGGACCGAGGAGAGAUGUCAUUGCCAUUUAUGUAGCGUUUUUGGAUAUUUUUACU
This 573-nucleotide unclassified non-coding RNA is filed under the name Hevea brasiliensis (rubber tree). The record is from RNAcentral. Lineage: Eukaryota; Viridiplantae; Streptophyta; Magnoliopsida; Malpighiales; Euphorbiaceae.